UACGUAGGAUGCAAGCGUUGUCCGGAUUUAUUGGGUUUAAAGGGUGCGUAGGCGGCUUAUUAAGUUAGUGGUGAAAACGUUCGGCUUAACCUGAUACCCGCCAUUGAUACUGAUAGACUUGAGUGCGACAGAGGGUGGUGGAAUGUGUGGUGUAGCGGUGAAAUGCUUAGAUAUCACGCAGAACACCAAUUGCGAAGGCAGAUGCCUAUGUCGUAACUGACGCUGAGGCACGAAAGCGUGGGGAGCAAACAGG
This 253-nucleotide ribosomal RNA is filed under the name uncultured bacterium. RNAcentral's name for it is "partial 16S ribosomal RNA". It matches the Rfam family "Bacterial small subunit ribosomal RNA", at positions 524 to 776 of the family's 1533-position model. The record is from RNAcentral.